This is a non-coding RNA of Pimephales promelas (fathead minnow), 359 nucleotides long. NCBI's taxonomy places the organism in Eukaryota, Metazoa, Chordata, Actinopteri, Cypriniformes, Leuciscidae. The record is from RefSeq and is a predicted model, not a curated record.
AAUGUCUUGAUUUCUUUCUUUUGAUGUUGUGGUAAAAUAUGCGAGAUCUUGACGGGUUUGGUGAGGUUCCUGAUGACCCUUUGAAUCUCUAUCUCUCUCUCUCUCUCUCUCUCUCUCUCUCUCAGUUUCUCUCUGCUCAUGUCAGACUGUUUCUCCUCAAGCUCCUGUGGACAAUCUUUCUGUCAAGGUUUAAUCUCAGUAAAAGCACUGGCCGAUUUCAAAGGGAGAUUCGGACACGUUCUGUGACAUCAAGCAGUCGACUUCCUGUUUCCCUUCAUCAGUUAACAAACCAAGUCUUUGAUUUUAUAUCUGUAAAAUGGCAUUUGACUUAAAAUAGAUAAAAAAGUGUCUUUACUCGA